Molecule: ribosomal RNA, 468 nt
Filed under: uncultured bacterium
Lineage: Bacteria
Description: partial 16S ribosomal RNA
Rfam family: Bacterial small subunit ribosomal RNA
Source: RNAcentral
GACGAACGCUGGCGGCGCGCUUAACACAUGCAAGUCGAACGGAAAGGCCCUGCUUUUGUGGGGUGCUCGAGUGGCGAACGGGUGAGUAACACGUGAGUAACCUGCCCUUGACUUUGGGAUAACUUCAGGAAACUGGGGCUAAUACCGGAUAGGAGCUCCUGCUGCAUGGUGGGGGUUGGAAAGUUUCGGCGGUUGGGGAUGGACUCGCGGCUUAUCAGCUUGUUGGUGGGGUAGUGGCUUACCAAGGCUUUGACGGGUAGCCGGCCUGAGAGGGUGACCGGCCCCAUUGGGACUGAGAUCCGGCCCAGACUCCUACGGGAGGCAGCAGUGGGGAAUAUUGCACAAUGGGCGGAAGCCUGAUGCAGCAACGCCGCGUGCGGGAUGACGGCCUUCGGGUUGUAAACCGCUUUCGCCUGUGACGAAGCGUGAGUGACGGUAAUGGGUAAAGAAGCACCGGCUAACUACGUG